Molecule: ribosomal RNA, 253 nt
Filed under: uncultured bacterium
Lineage: Bacteria
Description: partial 16S ribosomal RNA
Rfam family: Bacterial small subunit ribosomal RNA
Source: RNAcentral
GACGUAGGGUGCGAGCGUUGUCCGGAUUUAUUGGGCGUAAAGGGCUCGUAGGCGGUUUGUCGCGUCGGGAGUGAAAACACCGGGCUUAACUCGGUGCUUGCUUUCGAUACGGGCAGACUAGAGGCAUGCAGGGGAGAACGGAAUUCCUGGUGUAGCGGUGAAAUGCGCAGAUAUCAGGAGGAACACCGGUGGCGAAGGCGGUUCUCUGGGCAUGUCCUGACGCUGAGGAGCGAAAGUGUGGGGAGCGAACAGG